This 449-nucleotide ribosomal RNA is filed under the name uncultured bacterium. Its description in RNAcentral is "partial 16S ribosomal RNA". It matches the Rfam family "Bacterial small subunit ribosomal RNA", at positions 354 to 796 of the family's 1533-position model. The record is from RNAcentral.
GUCGAGAAUCUUUCACAAUGGGGGCAACCCUGAUGGAGCGACGCCGCGUGGAGGAUAAGGUCUUCGGAUUGUAAACUCCUGUCAUGCGUGAACAAGGUUGCUUGGUUAAUACCUGGGCAAAUUGAUGGUAACGCAAGAGGAAGAGACGGCUAACUCUGUGCCCGCAGCCGCGGUAAUACAGAGGUCUCAAGCGUUGUUCGGAAUCACUGGGCGUAAAGGGUGCGUAGGUGGCGUGGUAAGUCAGAUGUGAAAGCCCGGGGCUCAACCUCGGAACUGCAUGCGAUACUGCCAUGCUAGAGUACUGGAGAGGUGACUAGAAUUCUCGGUGUAGCAGUGAAAUGCGUAGAUAUCGAGAGGAAUACCAAAGGCGUAGGCAGGUCACUGGACAGUUACUGACACUGAGGCACGAAGGCCAGGGGAGCGAACGGGAUUAGAAACCCGUGUAGUCC